This 495-nucleotide ribosomal RNA is filed under the name uncultured bacterium. RNAcentral's name for it is "partial 16S ribosomal RNA". It matches the Rfam family "Bacterial small subunit ribosomal RNA", at positions 28 to 508 of the family's 1533-position model. The record is from RNAcentral.
GACGAACGCUGGCGGCGUGCUUAACACAUGCAAGUCGAACGGUGAAGCGCCUUCCUUUUUGGUGGGUGUGGAUGAGUGGCGAACGGGUGAGUAACACGUGAGUAACCUGCUCCCUUCUUCUGGAUAACCGCAUGAAAGUGUGGCUAAUACGGGAUAUUCUGGGUCUGUCGCAUGAUGGGUCUGGGAAGGUUAUUGUUUCGGUGGGGGAUGGGCUCGCGGCCUAUCAGCUUGUUGGUGGGGUGAUGGCCUACCAAGGCGGUGGCGGGUAGCCGGCCUGAGAGUGUGGGCGAUCACGCUGGGGAUGAGACACGGCCCAGCCUCCUCGGGGAGGCAGCAGUGGGGAAUAUGGCACAAUGGGCGCAGGCAUGAUGCGGCGACGCCGCGUGAGGGAUGGAGGCCUUCGGGGUGUGAACCUCUUUCGCCAGUGAAGCAAGCCUGCCUCGAUUGUGGGUGGGUUGACGGUAGCUGGAUAAGAAGCGCCGGCUAACUACCUGC